GUUUCUCCGGCGAGGACUUCGACGCGUGGCACCUGGGUUUCCACGACUCCGAGGGUGAGUACGUGGCGGUGGAGCAGUCCGCUCAGAAGCC
RNAcentral lists this transfer RNA (91 nucleotides) under Streptomyces turgidiscabies. RNAcentral describes it as "tRNA-Pro". The record is from RNAcentral. Lineage: Bacteria; Bacillati; Actinomycetota; Actinomycetes; Kitasatosporales; Streptomycetaceae.